UGGUUUGAGUACCCAAUUCCCUUGACCUAAUUAAAGUCAGCAAAGGCCUUCGUGAUGGGAUGUCUAGAAUGGCCCACUGCACACAAACUGCCUUACUUGGAUAUGAAUAUGGAACUUUCCGUGAUGUGGGGCUGUCUCGUCCAGUAGCGCCCGAGGCCGAACAGGAGCCAGUGACAUGAUUAACGUUGCCGCAACAUUCAAACAGAGUGGCGGAGACAAUUAGUUGCACAGAUUCACCGAGCCCCCGGGAGCGCAAACGCAAGUGCUUCUUAUUCCUGUCACGCGACAACGGUGCUCACACACAAUCCUCGCCGGUGGAAAGAUGUAUUCUACAUCAUUUUUUUUUUUCGAAACUUGACCGAGUUUGUAUUUUUACAUUUAUUUUUUUGCAUAUCUGGCAUCACGAUGUACCCCUUCGGAUCGCAAAUUAAUUGAAAGUCAAUCAAGAGCCUCUCUCCGAUGGUCGCGCCGCAGGCAAGUAGUGCACUCCAGUUUGCCUCAAUUGAAAUUCCGCACACUCUCCAGAAUUCUCAGCUAUCAGUUAAUUGAUGAUGGUGACCAUCCCGAGGACUGAUUGUCCGACGAUUGAAGACACAAAACAUCACGUCGUAUAAAAUGAUUUUAACGACUCUGAAAGUGACUGCUCCCGUUUCAGAAGGAUUAAUGAGACUAGACUAGACUGUCAUGAAUGUUUUUAUCUGUCGGGCUGUGGUGGUUUUGAAGUGUGACCUAGAAAACGCAACAACGCGUUAUGUUGAAUUUCCCCGAGGAGAGGAAGGAACUGACAAAGGGAGUCUGUUUCGGCACUUGUGCAAAGUCAGAUGAGAUUCUAAAGCCGAUGACUAAUUAAUGAGCUGACUCAUUUAUAUAUGUGACCGGGGAGAGCGCCGCAAUGUCGCAUGAGCAAGUAACUUUUGUAACGGCAUCGGCUGGAAACUGGAAACUGACAUGCUUGGAUCAUUGGGGACCUAAUUGGGAAGCCCUAAUUGGCUUGAGAUGUGUGAUCAUGAUCCAUUUUCCCAGUCGAUGAGGGGUGAGGGAUGUCGGGACAUUGUUGAGAGCAGACAAUUUGUAUUAUAUAUUAAAUAUACUUUAAAAAGUAUACUUGAGUAUAAGUAUAAAAAGUGUACUUUGUCAUACUAAAUUGGAAACAAUUCAUUUUAAAGGUACAAUGAUCCCUCGCUGCUUGGCGGUUCACUUCUCGCGGUUUCAGUGCAUCGCGGAGUUUUCAAAAGUAUUCAU
Molecule: long non-coding RNA, 1242 nt
Organism: Hippocampus comes (tiger tail seahorse)
Lineage: Eukaryota; Metazoa; Chordata; Actinopteri; Syngnathiformes; Syngnathidae
Exons: 2
Source: RefSeq, a predicted model, not a curated record